GUAGCGUUUGGCGUGCUAUACAUGCAGUCGAGCGGACAGAUGGGAGCUUGCUCCCUGAUGUUAGCGGCGGACGGGUGAGUAACACGUGGGUAACCUGCCUGUAAGACUGGGAUAACUCCGGGAAACCGGGGCUAAUACCGGAUGGUUGUUUGAACCGCAUGGUUCAAACAUAAAAGGUGGCUUCGGCUACCACUUACAGAUGGACCCGCGGCGCAUUAGCUAGUUGGUGAGGUAACGGCUCACCAAGGCGACGAUGCGUAGCCGACCUGAGAGGGUGAUCGGCCACACUGGGACUGAGACACGGCCCAGACUCCUACGGGAGGCAGCAGUAGGGAAUCUUCCGCAAUGGACGAAAGUCUGACGGAGCAACGCCGCGUGAGUGAUGAAGGUUUUCGGAUCGUAAAGCUCUGUUGUUAGGGAAGAACAAGUACCGUUCGAAUAGGGCGGUACCUUGACGGUACCUAACCAGAAAGCCACGGCUAACUACGUGCCAGCAGCCGCGGUAAUACGUAGGUGGCAAGCGUUGUCCGGAAUUAUUGGGCGUAAAGGGCUCGCAGGCGGUUUCUUAAGUCUGAUGUGAAAGCCCCCGGCUCAACCGGGGAGGGUCAUUGGAAACUGGGGAACUUGAGUGCAGAAGAGGAGAGUGGAAAUUCCACGUGUAGCGGUGAAAUGCGUAGAGAUGUGGAGGAACACCAGUGGCGAAGGCGACUCUCUGGUCUGUAACUGACGCUGAGGAGCGAAAGCGUGGGGAGCGAACAGGAUUAGAUACCCUGGUAGUCCACGCCGUAACGAUGAGUGCUAGUGUUAUGGGGUUUCCGCCCCUUAUGCUGCAGCUAACGCACUAAGCACUCCGGCCUGGGGAGUACGGUCGCAGACUGAUACUCUAAGAGUGACGGAGGCCCCGACUAGCCGUGAGCAUGAGAUUUAUUCUAAAGCAUCUGCGCAGAACUAUCAGUCGUGUAUCCGUCGAUAGUCAUCAGGUAGUACGUCCCUUCCCGCUAAUGAACGCUAUGUCUAGU
Molecule: ribosomal RNA, 1019 nt
Filed under: Bacillus subtilis
Lineage: Bacteria; Bacillati; Bacillota; Bacilli; Caryophanales; Bacillaceae
Description: bacterial SSU rRNA
Rfam family: Bacterial small subunit ribosomal RNA
Source: RNAcentral